GACAGAGGGUGCAAACGUUGUUCGGAAUUACUGGGCGUAAAGCGUGUGUAGGCGGUCUGCUAAGUCGGGUGUGAAAGCCCUGGGCUCAACCCAGGAAGUGCACUCGAAACUGGCAGGCUAGAGUACUGGAGAGGUUGGUGGAAUUCUCGGUGUAGAGGUGAAAUUCGUAGAUAUCGAGAGGAACACCGGUGGCGAAGGCGGCCAACUGGACAGAUACUGACGCUGAGACACGAAAGCGUGGGGAGCGAACAGG
This 253-nucleotide ribosomal RNA is filed under the name uncultured bacterium. RNAcentral describes it as "partial 16S ribosomal RNA". It matches the Rfam family "Bacterial small subunit ribosomal RNA", at positions 524 to 776 of the family's 1533-position model. The record is from RNAcentral.